Molecule: long non-coding RNA, 1291 nt
Organism: Girardinichthys multiradiatus
Lineage: Eukaryota; Metazoa; Chordata; Actinopteri; Cyprinodontiformes; Goodeidae
Exons: 3
Source: RefSeq, a predicted model, not a curated record
AGUCGUUUAAAGAUGGUAGAUGUCUCAUUGGUUAUGGCCUUUCUCCAACUUGAAGAUAAUUUCAGCCUCUCAGUCCAACUAAUCUGAAUUUAUACUAAAUGAACGAGCCAGGAGAGUUAUCCACUACAGGAUACAGCCUGAAGAGCCAUGACGGAGGGGGGGAAGAAGACUCAAGGCAAUGGCAGGAUGCUGACACGGCCCUCCUUUGUCCUAUUCUCUUUCAUUUCCUCCCCAGAUCUUCCGACUGCCCCAGAGGAAGACAAGGAAUGGGCCAACGGGGAUAUGAAGAGGACCUAUGAAGAGGACUCGAAAGACAAUACCAUUCCUGCAUGACAGGUCUUCAAGGAUGAUGGAAAACAGACCAUUAUUAGAGAUCUUGGUCCUUCGCUACUGCUCUGCUGAACAAAUGCCUGGUUGGUUACCAAGCAUUUCCCCACCAGAUAUUUGGGUUUUAAACCAAAAAUUUAAAUCUUAUGAUCUUAUGAUAUUAAGAUGCCACAUACACCUCUACGUUAACUAGGUGUGUGCUUUAUUUUAACACCCUGUAUCUAAGUUUGUCGAUGUUACUUUGAAGUAAAAAAAGAAGCAGUUCCUAAGUUGUUGCCCAGUUGUGUUGACAGAGUUGAGCUAUACAGAUGUCUGACUGACAUUCUGUUGCAAAAGCAUUGAGGCAACACCCACCUGUUUUAGAUUGUUUAUCUGGCACUAUUUUAUUUACUCAUUAAGGACAGGAAUGGUGACAGAAUCACAGGCAAGAUUCAAGUUAGCAUCUGCUUCAGAGCUUGCAAUCUGAACUUCUUUCACUGCUUUUUAGACGCAAAACCCCUUCAGAAUGAGACAGAGAAAAGCAAAGAAAUUAAAAAUGGUUACUUAGUUUUUUCCAAAAAAUUGCUAAUAUUGACAAUCUUAACCGUAUUUCAGAUUUUUGGGUUUCAAAGUAUUGCUAAAAUCUUGUCUUGUCUCCUGAGCUGGUUGUAUAAUUAAAUUCCUAAUAAGCACUGAAGAAACCUGCACCAUUUUUAAAUCAUGUAUGUGCAUGUAACAGAUAAAAAAAUGCCAUUAUGACGGACAACAAAUUUUAAAACCGCCACUAUGAUGGUGCUAAAAUUUGCUUCUUGAUGGUGCUGAAUGGUUAUUUUAGGUUUUUAAUGACUUUGGAUUGGAUUUCAUUGCCUCUAGUCAAAAUCUAAAACACUAUGACUUGAUGUAGGUAAUUCUAGACUGAACAGAGAUUUUUUAAACACAUUUUGAGAAUUAUAAAACCUUUGUUUACAAAAACAACAAAUUAGUG